CGAGUGGCGAACGGGUGAGUAACGCGUGAGGAACCUAGCCUCAAAGAAGGGGGGACGAACAGUUGGAAAUGACUGCUAAUACCGCAUAAGACCACGGUACCGCAUGGUACAGUGGGAAAAACUACCGGUGGUAUGAGAUGGACCCGCGUCUGAUUAGCUAGUUGGUAAGGUAACGGCUUACCAAGGCGACGAUCAGUAGCCGACCUGAGAGGGUGACCGGCCACAUUGGGACUGAGACACGGCCCAAACUCCUACGGGAGGCAGCAUG
Molecule: ribosomal RNA, 268 nt
Filed under: uncultured bacterium
Lineage: Bacteria
Description: partial 16S ribosomal RNA
Rfam family: Bacterial small subunit ribosomal RNA
Source: RNAcentral